Molecule: ribosomal RNA, 253 nt
Filed under: uncultured bacterium
Lineage: Bacteria
Description: partial 16S ribosomal RNA
Rfam family: Bacterial small subunit ribosomal RNA
Source: RNAcentral
UACGGAGGGGGCUAGCGUUGUUCGGAAUUACUGGGCGUAAAGCGCGCGUAGGCGGACCUGCAAGUCGGGGGUGAAAGCCCGAGGCUCAACCUCGGAACUGCCUUCGAUACUGCGGGUCUCGAGUCCGGGAGAGGUGAGUGGAAUUCCUAGUGUAGAGGUGAAAUUCGUAGAUAUUAGGAAGAACACCAGUGGCGAAGGCGGCUCACUGGACCGGAACUGACGCUGAGGCGCGAAAGCGUGGGGAGCAAACGGG